CCUACGGGUCGCACCAGUGGGGAAUCUUGCACAAUGGGCGCAAGCCUGAUGCAGCGACGCCGCGUGGGGGACGAAUGCCUUCGGGUUGUAAACCCCUUUCGGCAGGGAAGAAGCGCAAGUGACGGUACCUGCAGAAGAAGCUCCGGCUAACUACGUGCCAGCAGCCGCGGUAAGACGUAGGGAGCGAGCGUUGUCCGGAUUCAUUGGGCGUAAAGCGCGCGUAGGCGGUUUGGCAAGUCGGAUGUGAAAUCCCGAGGCUCAACCUCGUGACUGCAUCCGAUACUGCCCGACUAGAGGUAGGUAGGGGAGAUCGGAAUUCCUGGUGUAGCGGUGAAAUGCACAGAUAUCAGGAGGAACACCGGUGGCGAAGGCGGAUCUCUGGGCCUUACCUGACGCUGAGGCGCGAAAGCUGGGGGAGCGAACAGGAUUAGAUACCCCUGUAGUC
RNAcentral lists this ribosomal RNA (445 nucleotides) under uncultured bacterium. Its description in RNAcentral is "bacterial SSU rRNA". It matches the Rfam family "Bacterial small subunit ribosomal RNA", at positions 338 to 795 of the family's 1533-position model. The record is from RNAcentral.